Long non-coding RNA from Xenopus laevis (African clawed frog), 525 nucleotides. RefSeq lists it as uncharacterized. The transcript is spliced from 2 exons. NCBI's taxonomy places the organism in Eukaryota, Metazoa, Chordata, Amphibia, Anura, Pipidae. The record is from RefSeq and is a predicted model, not a curated record.
AACAGGACAGAGAGGGCGAAGAUCAGGACUGGACUAAGCAGGAUGAAGAGGGCGAUGACAGGAACAGACUGGACUGUGUCCUUCCCCUACACAGUUUGCUCUAGCACGCAGGUGCAUGGAGACUGAGCAUUUGCUGUAACGGUAUGACCCAGAUAAGAUAAAAUAAAGGGCUCAGUUCACUGAGCGUUAACCAUCCUGAUAGACUGAUUGAGUACAAUGUGAGCGGAUUACCUUGUGGAUUUGGCAGCCCACAAUAUAUACAGACAUAAUCUAGAUUUAUUUCUCGAGCCUGCUAAAUCAUAUUUGAUCCACAUACAGCAUAUCGACUGAUUGUGCUCUACAACGAUCCGAUAAUAAAUGUUCUCCUACGCAGAGGAGAGUGCAAGCAUCUCGUUCAGACACAUCUCAAGAUAAAACAAAAGUUUCCAUCAUUGUUGCUGUACAUAUUCAUAUUUUUGAUGCAUGUGUUGCAAAGUCAUAAAUUGCAUGCCAAUAAAAGCAAAACUAAUAAACUUUAUAAAACGU